Molecule: non-coding RNA, 21 nt
Filed under: Caenorhabditis elegans
Lineage: Eukaryota; Metazoa; Nematoda; Chromadorea; Rhabditida; Rhabditidae
Source: RNAcentral
UUGAGCAAUGAUUACCUUUGU